AUGGGCUCGUCACCUCACGUCAAAUUCCUCAUGAUGGUGAGCCGACUUGUCGUGGACAACUUCUUGGGGGUCUUGGCGGUGGCCGUCGCUGCCGCCGUGGUCGGGAGGGCGUGGCCCAUUCGCCCCGAAGAGAUCCUAGACCAGAUGCUCGCCUUGCCGCGUGUCUACGUCUUCAUGGCGGCGAUCCUGGCGGCGGCCAUGGAGAAGAUGCGGCGCAUGCGGCGGCUGCGGGAUGUGUACCUCGUGGAGUACGGCUGCUUCCGGCCCAAGCCCUGCUACCGCACGCCGUUCGCCACGUGUCUGGAGCAUGCGCACCUCAUGCCGUACCUCGUCGACGAGGAGAGCGUCGCCUUCGCGAUGCGGCUGCUCGAGCGCUCCGGGCUCGGCGAGGAGACAUGCGUGCCGGACGCGUACCACUACAUGCCCCCGGACCGCAGCCUCAAGGCGUCCCGGGACGAGGCCGAGCUGGUCAUCUUCGCCGCCGUCGACGACGUGUUCGCCAAGACGGCCGUCAUCAAGCCAGCCGACAUCGACGUGCUCAUCGUCAACUGCAGCAUCUUCACGCCGGUUCCGGUGUUUGCUGACAUGGUCGUCAACAAGUACAAGCUCCGCUCCGACGUGAAGAUCAUGAACCUGUCGGGGAUGGGUUGCAGCGCUGGGCUCGUCUCCGUCGGCCUCGCCAGGAAAAUCCUCCAGGUGGCGCCGCCAGGCACGCGCGUGCUGAUAGUGUCCACGGAGAUCCUCUCGUCGCAGUACUACGUGGGCACGGAGCGUGCGAUGCUGCUGCCCAACUGCCUCUUCCGCAUGGGCGCCGCGGCCAUGAUCCUCUCCAACUCCGCGAGUGAGGCGCGGUUUCGUCUCCGGCGCGUGGUGCGCACCGUCACCGCCGCACGGGACGCGGACUACCGCUGCGUGUUCCAGGAGGAGGACGACAAGGGGAACACCGGCAUCCGCCUCUCCAAGGACCUCGCCACCACCGCCGGCUACGCGCUCAAGAACAACAUCGCGGCUUUCGGGCCCCUCGUCCUGCCGGCCACGGAGCAGCUCCUCGUCGCGCUGUCCCUGCUCAAGCGGAGGCUCCUAAGAGGGCGCGCCAAGGUGAGGCUGUAUCGCCCGGACUUCCGCACUGCGUUCGAGCACAUCUGCAUCCACGCGGGCGGGCGUGGAGUGAUCGACGAGGUUCAGGACGGCCUCGGCCUCUCCGACGACGACGUGGAGGCGUCGCGGAUGACGCUGCACAGGUUCGGCAACACGUCCAGCAGCUCGGUCCUGUACGAGCUGGCGUACCUGGAGGCCAAGGGGCGGAUGAAGAAGGACGACAGGGUGUGGAUGAUCUCCUUCGGCGCCGGAUUCGACUGCAACAGUGUCUCGUGGGAGUGCGUCAAGCCGGCCGGCGACGCCGACGGGCCGUGGGCCGAGUGCGUCGCCCGCUACCCCGUGCAGCUGCCCGAAAUCGACAAGGACAUGUGA
This 1470-nucleotide ribosomal RNA is filed under the name Triticum aestivum (bread wheat). RNAcentral describes it as "partial small subunit ribosomal RNA". The record is from RNAcentral. Lineage: Eukaryota; Viridiplantae; Streptophyta; Magnoliopsida; Poales; Poaceae.